GGCAGGCAGGAGAGAGAGAGCGCGAGAUGAAAUUGAGACAUGGAAGAAUUUAUUGCCCAGAAAAUUCCAUUCUGCUAUCUGAUUCAAAAAGUCCAGUCCCCCCAGCUUCGGAAAAUCUAUUUUCCACAUUUUAAUACCCUGCAGAACAGUCCUCAUAACUCAUCCGAGUGUGUUAAGCACAGUUUUAUUAGAUCUGAAACAAAUUUUGGUGGGGAGAUACUAUAGGUCAUUAACCAUGGAGUAAUUUUAUCCUUGUUUCCCUAAUGAUGCCAUAAUGGCGAGCGAAUUUCUUAACUAAAGACCAAAGAACAUUUUGAAGGUCAGUUUCAUCUGUGAGCUCCUUCAAGCGCUUCUCAGAGAAGAUUGGAAAACUCGCCGAUUUUUUGAAGAGUCAUUAAUAAUGUGAAAGCUGAAAGCACCCUCCAUUUGCGUUCCUGCUUUUUACCUUUUAAUUUUAUAUCGUCCCCGCUCAGAGCCCCGCUCCCACUCCCUCACCCUCCUCUGGACCUCCCGCCUGCCUACCCACCCCACGCAAGGAACAAGGCUGCCCGGGACUACCAGGUACCAGGCUAGCUGUGAGGGGCACACGUGGGGCGGCAGUAGGGGAGGCAAAAAGAGCCAGAGAAGCCAGGACCCCGCCGAGAUGGGGCGCCUCAGCUGUAAUCCCAGCAUAGGGGGCACUGUGUGAGGGGAUUGUUAUAGGCAUGGCACACACGUGUGUGUGUGCAUGUGUGCAAAUGUGCAGUAUAGGGGACUGGGGUCUCUGGAUUGGGUGCUGGCCAUGCACACACAUGUUAGGGAUGGAUGGGGACCUACUGGUCUCUCUAGUUGAGUGCCCCCUGUUGGAAGCAGGCAGGGAAAGGGAACUGAAAACCAGCCCUGGGUCUGGUGACCUGGGCAGUGGGGCAGUGGGGGGACUUGUGGUGUCUCCCAAGAGAGACGGACACUACAUGGAGGGCAUGAAACAAUUUACAGCAGGUUGUAAGCCCUGAUUACAUGUGUGUGCCAACGAGCAUGUAUGUCCUGGGUGUGGGGAGGUCAUCAAGGCAAGAACCCCGAGGACCUACCCCACUGACAAAUAUUUAGACACUAGAGACAGUGGCCAUUGUCUGCUCAUCCCUCACUCCUUAGACCACACACCCCUUUCUCCCCAGGCCUGGAGCCCCUCAUUUGCCCACUUUACUUGCCUCCUGAUCUCCAAUCCCCGGUUCCUCAGACCUCCUGCCCCCCACCAGUCCUAUCCCUCCCCCUGAACCCUCAUCCCCCUACCUCUUCACCCAUCUGCUGGCAGGCAGUGCAGGGUGCCCAGCCAGGAGCUGGGGUGGGACAGCAUUUCUCUGUGUGUGCAGGUUUGGGGAGGAGGGGGCGGUGUGGUGACACUCCAUGCUCCCAGAUGUGGUGGCAGCGAUAAUUCCAAUUUUAUGCCUUUGUUAUGGCUUUAAUCACUUUCUUUAUGCGUUUUGUUCCAGCGAUCAGGGAGAGACACCUGAUAGGCAAAGAGGAUACCAGGGGAACCAUUUUUAUUUGGAAUGUGGUGAGAAGUCUAAUUAGAAUCUGAAUUCUGCUGAGCCUUGAAAUGGCCAGUACUUUAUCCUGAUCGCCUUAGAUAUUGUUUCGAGUCAAUCAUCUGUCAUGGUGCAGCAGGAGAGCCUCUCCCUUCACACUGCACCCCUCCCGCCACAGGGCCAGCCAGGGCACACGGCGGGAGGGGGGAGGCUUCUGCCCUUGUAGGGGUAUGUGCCUCCUUCUUAGGGGGAGGCCUGUUUGAUGUGGCUAACCCUCCCCUGGUGAAGGCUGUCUUUGCUGGACGCUGAGUUUGAGCUCAUGGGGGGCAGAAGGGGAAGAGGGGCUGCAGGAAGAGGGUGCUGAGGGGCUUGUAUUAGAAUUAGGAGAUAUUGGGGUGAGGCCAAGCUAGUCUGGGGUGCCUCCUAAGUGUUCCCAGUGCAGUGACCACCCCACCUCCUCUCUAUCAAUGGCCCACAGGGACUCUCAUCUCUUUACUGUCCCCAGACAUAUUGUCUCUCUGCCACCUGCUCACUGUUCCUCAAACUCACCACUUUCAUUGCCAACCCCUCCCUGACCCAACGUUUGCUACGCGUUCAGCUCCUUUUCUUUGACUUUCCUCACUCUAGUCCCACCACUGGAAUACUGCUCCGGUUUGUUCUGCCAUCUGUCAAGUCCCCGGACUGGUUCUGCCUCCUCCAGAAAGCCUUCCCUGACUACCUGAACCCAUACAGACACUCAAGACACUGUCCUUUCUACAUCCAGUGGCUGCAGUGGGGGGAGAUGAAAAGGAGGAGAAACUGUUGGAUAAAAAGAAAUUCAAAAAAAAAAACUACAGCACAAAGCUCCAACUCCAGCUCUCCCCUGUUCUCUCCAGUCUCUCAGGAGUCCUCUACCACUCGGAAACUUUCAGCCGUCACCUCCCUGCAGGCAAUGGAAGCACUGAUCUCUAAUUCCAAGCUUCUCUUGAGAUCCAAGCCCACAACCGCAGCAGCGCAAGCCUGACACUUGGACAAGCAGACUCUCGUGUCUCUCCUGAAGCCGGCAACAACCUGUGAGUCCCUGCUUUGCCGACUGCCAUG
Lontra canadensis (Northern American river otter) is the source of this 2585-nucleotide long non-coding RNA. RefSeq lists it as uncharacterized. The record is from RefSeq and is a predicted model, not a curated record. Lineage: Eukaryota; Metazoa; Chordata; Mammalia; Carnivora; Mustelidae. The transcript is spliced from 3 exons.